AAGACUAUACUUUCAGGGAUCAUUUCUAUAGUUCGUUACAAGAUAAUACAGGCGUCUCAUAUGGAUAUUUAUGAAUGUGCACAAAAAUUAAAUAGACAUAAACCCAAACACUAUUAGCCCUGGUAAUGGGAUUCAGGUGACUUUCCACAUUUCCUUUAAGGGAAUGAGUGUGCAUGAAUCAUUCUUA
Molecule: small nucleolar RNA, 187 nt
Filed under: Mesocricetus auratus (golden hamster)
Lineage: Eukaryota; Metazoa; Chordata; Mammalia; Rodentia; Cricetidae
Description: Small nucleolar RNA U3
Rfam family: Small nucleolar RNA U3
About the family: Small nucleolar RNAs (snoRNAs) are involved in the processing and modification of rRNA in the nucleolus. There are two main classes of snoRNAs: the box C/D class, and the box H/ACA class.
Source: Rfam by way of RNAcentral